RNAcentral lists this unclassified non-coding RNA (600 nucleotides) under Hevea brasiliensis (rubber tree). The record is from RNAcentral. Lineage: Eukaryota; Viridiplantae; Streptophyta; Magnoliopsida; Malpighiales; Euphorbiaceae.
AAAAGAUCUGCUACAGUAUUCAGCGUGAUUAUGACAGAUGGACAACUGGUACCAGCUUAGAGCUCAAGGGGCUUCUUUCACUUGAAUUCUAGUUCUAGGUAAUAUCAUUUAUUUCUAUUUUGUAAAUCUAAAGAAGCAAAGGAGACUCAUUCCAUCAUCUUCAUGCAGGGUUACAAGCCAGUGGAGGUUUACUUCCUAUCAAAUACUCUUCCCAGAGAUUUAUAAGAUGAAGAAACAAUGACAAGAAAAAUAUCCAGUCAACAAGCCAAAUGCAUCCUACCCCACAAGCAUAACUGGAUGAUAUAUAACUUCAGACUUUGACCAAAUUCCUAACAAUUACUGAUAGCAGCUUGAAGAUUGCUGAUAAUGCUAUUAAGAUGCUUUGAGUUUGAAAGGAAAUUGAAAGGCAUAUAACUUCAGACUUUGACCCAAUUCCUAACAAUUACUAAUAGUGGAAUGAAGAUUGCUGAUAAUACUAUUAAGAUGCUUAGAAGGCAAAUAGAAAGAAAUAAACACUUCGAGCCAAAAAAUAAUAAAUGAAACCUUGAUCCAAUUUAUUGCUACAUAAACAGGGAGGAGGAUUAGAGUCCCCAUAUAUUU